UACGUAGGGUGCAAGCGUUAAUCGGAAUUACUGGGCGUAAAGCGUGCGCAGGCGGUUGUGCAAGACAGAUGUGAAAUCCCUGGGCUCAACCUGGGGAUUGCAUUUGUGACUGCACGGCUAGAGUGUGUCAGAGGGGGGUAGAAUUCCACGUGUAGCAGUGAAAUGCGUAGAGAUGUGGAGGAAUACCGAUGGCGAAGGCAGCCCCCUGGGAUAACACUGACGCUCAUGCACGAAAGCGUGGGGAGCAAACAGG
Molecule: ribosomal RNA, 253 nt
Filed under: uncultured bacterium
Lineage: Bacteria
Description: partial 16S ribosomal RNA
Rfam family: Bacterial small subunit ribosomal RNA
Source: RNAcentral